RNAcentral lists this ribosomal RNA (182 nucleotides) under Chloropicon mariensis. RNAcentral describes it as "partial Archaeal large subunit ribosomal RNA". It matches the Rfam family "Archaeal large subunit ribosomal RNA", at positions 1218 to 1399 of the family's 2987-position model. Lineage: Eukaryota; Viridiplantae; Chlorophyta; Chloropicophyceae; Chloropicales; Chloropicaceae. The record is from RNAcentral.
GCGUAACAGCUCACCUGCCGAGCUCGAAAGCCCCGAAAAUUCACGGGGCUCAAGUGGACUACCGAUACUUUAGACCACCGACGAUGUCGGUGCGUGGUAGGUGGGCGUAGUGUUUGGGUAGAAGCUGGGCCGUGAGGUCCAGUGGACCGAACUACUAGUGCAGAUCCUGGUGGUAGUAGCAA